This 621-nucleotide ribosomal RNA is filed under the name Nannochloropsis oculata. RNAcentral's name for it is "LSU rRNA". It matches the Rfam family "Eukaryotic large subunit ribosomal RNA", at positions 43 to 654 of the family's 3401-position model. Lineage: Eukaryota; Eustigmatophyceae; Eustigmatales; Monodopsidaceae. The record is from RNAcentral.
UAAUUAAGCGGAGGAAAAGAACUAACCAGGAUUCCCUAGUAACGGCGAGUGAAGCGGGAAGAGCUCAACUUGAAAAUCUGGGUCGUUUUACGRCCCCGAAUUGUAGUCUAAAGAAGUGCAGCCAUCGGCCGACGCGAGACAAGUCCCUUGGAAAAGGGCGCCCCAGAGGGUGACAGUCCCGUACAUGCUUGCGUGGGUCCGUCUACGGCGUAUUUUCGACGAGUCGAGUUGCUUGGGAUUGCAGCUCAAAGUGGGUGGUAAAUUCCAUCUAAGGCUAAAUAUCGGUGGGAGACCGAUAGCGAACAAGUACCGUGAGGGAAAGAUGCAAAGAACUUUGAAAAGAGAGUUAAAGAGUGCCUGAAAUUGCUGAAAGGGAAGGAAAGGAAACCAGUGUAAUGCUGUGGUAUUUCCCCGCUGGACAUUGGACUGCGGUUGUGCCAUGGCGUUGGUCAAGAUGGGUUUGACUCGCAGGAUUAGGGUGUGAGGAAGGUGGUUCGCACUUCGGUGUGAAUGUUAUAUCCUUGCACCUUUGCUGUGGGUUGGACCGAGGUCAACCUUGCGCCUCUGGCUGAGCUCUGCUCAAGCAAGGUAUGGAUCUUGACGAAUGUUUCUUCGCCGUCA